This 492-nucleotide ribosomal RNA is filed under the name uncultured bacterium. RNAcentral describes it as "partial 16S ribosomal RNA". It matches the Rfam family "Bacterial small subunit ribosomal RNA", at positions 29 to 507 of the family's 1533-position model. The record is from RNAcentral.
AGUGAACGCUGGCGGUAGGCCUAACACAUGCAAGUCGAACGGCAGCACAGUAAGAGCUUGCUCUUACGGGUGGCGAGUGGCGGACGGGUGAGGAAUACAUCGGAAUCUACUUUUUCGUGGGGGAUAACGUAGGGAAACUUACGCUAAUACCGCAUACGACCUACGGGUGAAAGCAGGGGAUCUUCGGACCUUGCGCGAUUGAAUGAGCCGAUGUCGGAUUAGCUAGUUGGCGGGGUAAAGGCCCACCAAGGCGACGAUCCGUAGCUGGUCUGAGAGGAUGAUCAGCCACACUGGAACUGAGACACGGUACAGACUCCUACGGGAGGCAGCAGUGGGGAAUAUUGGACAAUGGGGGCAAGCCUGAUCCAGCCAUACCGCGUGGGUGAAGAAGGACUUCGGGUUGUAAAGCCCUUUUGUUGGGAAAGAAAAGCAGCAGGUUAAUACCCCGCUGUUCUGACGGUACCCAAAGAAUAAGCACCGGCUAACUUCGUG